CGCUGGCGGCGUGCCUAACACAUGCAAGUCGAGCGGGGACAUUGCGACGGAGACGAAGUACUCGUACGGAGUCAAAGAUGUAAUGUUCUAGCGGCGGACGGGUGAGUAACGCGUGAGCAACCUGUCCCUUACAGGGGGAUAACACAGCGAAAGUUGUACUAAUACCGCAUAAGACCACAGGAUGACAUCGUCCAGGGGUCAAAGGAGCAAUCCGGUAAGGGGUGGGCUCGCGUCCGAUUAGAUAGUUGGUGAGGUAACGGCCCACCAAGUCGACGAUCGGUAGCCGACCUGAGAGGGUGAUCGGCCACAUUGGGACUGAGACACGGCCCAAACUCCUACGGGAGGCAGCAGUGGGGAAUAUUGGGCAAUGGGGGGAAACCCUGACCCAGCAACGCCGCGUGAGGGAAGAAGGUUUUCGGAUCGUAAACCUCUGUCCCAGGUGAAGAGGAAGAGACGGUAGCCUGGGAGGAAGCCCCGGCUAACUACGUGCCAGCCGCCGC
This 500-nucleotide ribosomal RNA is filed under the name uncultured bacterium. RNAcentral's name for it is "bacterial SSU rRNA". It matches the Rfam family "Bacterial small subunit ribosomal RNA", at positions 34 to 518 of the family's 1533-position model. The record is from RNAcentral.